AAAGAUAUUGGAUUCCUGUCUCAUUACAUAUGCUAAGCAUCUGCAUACUAUCCCUUGCUUUUUCCUUUAGGACUAAUUGCAGUCGUUACCAGUUGUCAACAGGUUUACCAUACCCAUUGAGUCAAUCACCCAUCUCCUACUACCCUCCUGAGAAAACCCCCACCCCACUCUCCCAGUAUACAUAAGGGUCUGGUGACUUCUGUUUCAGUGUAUCUGAAGAAGUGUGCAUGCACACGAAAGCUCAUACCAAGAACAAACUUAGUUGGUCUCUAAGGUGUUACUGGACAAUUUUUUUUAUUUUUAUAUAUAUUUCGACUGCAUCAGACCAACACGGCUACCUACCUGAAUCUAGCGUUUCAAUCAUUGUUCACAUGCAAUGUGCAGCAUGUACUUUGAGGGAUGAAGGCCAACAGUGCAUGUUAUGGCUCCACAUUCACUCGUAGUUGAUGGCUUACUGUUAACUCGCAGAAGGCUCAGACAUCCCUGCUUGGCAGGGGGUUGGACUCGAUGGCCCUUGUAGUCUCUUCCAACUCUAUGAUUCUAUGAUUCUAUCCCUCCUCCCCUCUCGGCCUAUGAUUGGAACAAAAGGUGAUUAGCAUCACAUCCAAACCAUAGGUUGUGGUUCAUUCUUGGCUUGCGAUUGUGGUUUUGCUCAGUCUGCAUUUCAGCCCUAACACUGAACUAGGGAGUGUGCUUGGUUGCUCCCACUCAAACUAGGUGGUUGAGUGAAAGAGCAGAGAUCUCUCCAUUCAUUGUAAACCAUUAUGGUUUAACAUGCUGUGUAAACUGGCUCAUUCCAUCAUUGUCAGUUAGUAACCUCCAAUCUUUGAGCAUGUAGGCACCAGGAACCUGGAUUAAGGGGGUCACUCCUGUUAGCACCCUGUGAGUUUUCUUUCAGCCCUGCGUUACAACAAUCUAGAGUGUAUAUUUUCAGUAGUUUGUGAGGUACUGGUGAUGUGCGUGUGGUCCCAGAACUGCUAAAAACAGUUGUGGUUCAUUAUUGGCAGGGAAGCAAAGGGUGGGUUUCUCCCCUAGGACUCCGGCCUCCCCAUUUUAGUCUGCAAUAACCCAAGAUAAGGCGGGGUAGGGAGAAAGAGAGAUUUGUCUUUCCCCUCACAUACUAAUGCUGGCCAAAAGCCGACACAGGCCUCUUUAAUGAUCACACUCUUCUUUCUUGCUGUGCUAUUGUCUUUCCUCAAGAGGCAUCUCUGUAAAAGAUUCCAUCUGUGCACUACCUACAAACAUCAAGGAAAGAAAGAGAGGCAAUAGCUGCUUCAUGUUUAUGGAAUUUCCUACCCCACCCCCUGAAGGCUUGUCAGAAAUCUGCCGAGAACAUUUUUGGAACCGUGAAGCAAUCCUGCCAAAGUAAGGUGUGGCUAAAGUGGAGAUUUAACUGUCUUGUGUUUUCAUUCUGAUGGUUCCAAUGGGACUGAGGCACACCUAGUGUACUCUGGAUUUCAUCCACUGUAUGUGCACACUUUGGGCUUUGGCAAGAGAGAGAUGUGUGCAUUGCAGUUUGCUUUAUUUGUUAAUUCUUGCUAUAACUACAAGUGAGGAAUUAAUCUGAUUUCUCCAAAAUUAUAUGUAUAAAACGAUGAGCAGUCAGAAUGGCUUGGCACCAGCCAAUUUGCCUGCCCUGGCUGAUAUUCUAAAUAGUUUUUCGUAUGAGCAUCUAACUACAAAACUCCAUGGAACAGGCUUCUUCCAUGACUUGCUCUUCACACCAGUAUGAACAAUGCCUCAGAUAAGAGAAUCUUCAAUCUAAGUGCUGCAACUUUCCUUAUAGUAUUGCAUCUAUUAUUAGGCUUUAGCAUUUAUGCCCUGUUAGAAUUAUUGCCCAGCUCAUUCUGAAUGCAGAACAAUUCCAUUAAGACAAUCUUGCAAUGCAUCCAAAAAGUGCUCAGGCUUGGACUUCUGGGAGUCUUCAGGUAGGAGCUGUGGAUCUGGGAGAAGGGUCAGCUACUAAAAAAAAGAAGUGAGGAUGCUUUUCUAGACAGUUUGAACCUGGUGUUUCUCUCAAAGACCACAAGCCUUGAAUUUGGAUCCAGAAGGUAAUGAGUACACAAUGUAGAAGACUCUAAAUGUUCUGGUGACUGAUGCAAUGCAUUCUGCACUAGUUGACAUGCCUGAAUCUUCCCUGAAGGCAAACCGGUAAGUCUCUUUUAGUCCAUUGAUGUACGCUUGCUAGGUUCCUGAUAAAAGGAAGUGCAGCUCUUAUUGGAUAGCAUUGGAGGGAGGUGGUCUUGGCCACUGUUACCGUCUGGGCACUUCUAAGACUACAGUUCUGAGUGAUGAGAAUGUGACAUCCGGCCCCUCAAAUCUUUGUUGAGAGCUCAUGCAUGACCAUUUCAUCAGUCUGGUCAAAUUCAGUUUUCAGUUGCCCUCAUAUCACAGCACCCUCACAGCAAGCCGCUAUGCUUAUAGUAACCAUGACAUUUGUUUAUUAAUGUGAACUAGACUCUAGGCUCAUGAGAAAUGCUUGCGUCUCUUUAUAUGGAAAUACAGUAACACUAAAGGCUUUCAGCUCCUGCAUGUAGAUUUGAGUCAACUGUGAUGCUUAUUUAUACAGGCCAUGAAGGUGUAAGUUACCUUCCAAACGUCCAGGAGCAUGAGGAAUAAUUUAUAAAUAGUGAUUUGUACUCAGAUUUCAGAAAUAUGUUAAAUAUGUUUAUAUGCUUUUAAUAACCAUCACAAGUUUUCCAAUCUUUUACUUCUGCCUCACCUAAUUUUGAUGUGAUAAUACCAGACACACUUUCCUAUUACUAUUGUAGAUAACAUUAGCCAGAUCUCUUGGUACAUAAGGGGUGGGAAGAAAGAGGAGUCUUGAUUGCCAGACUGGACUAGAGGGUGGGUAGGAUGGAGGAGCCAGUAUAUUUUUGUAUAUUUGUAGUGGCAAUUUUGUAGUGAUAUGUUCUGGUUUUGAGCAGCAGCAACUAAAACAUUUGAAGAGACUUUAUGUUAACACUUAACUACGGUUCAAUUGCACAAUCAAUAGUUCAAUCUAAGUAGCUGAAGACUCUGAAUGAGGAGCAGCCACUGAUUUGAUAAAUAAGUACAUAAGGUGCACAAUGCAGCUUUAUGCACAUCUACAUCAAAAUAUGUAAGCAGGUCAAUUGCUGCAUCCCACAGCAAAUCUGCAUUUGUUCUGAGAAACUGUACCACAAAAUUUCCUUUAUUAAAAGUUGUUUGACACUC
This 3195-nucleotide long non-coding RNA is filed under the name Podarcis lilfordi (Lilford's wall lizard). The record is from RNAcentral. Lineage: Eukaryota; Metazoa; Chordata; Lepidosauria; Squamata; Lacertidae.